CCACCUUCUCCGACAAGGAGACCGUUUCCACCACAGGCACCACCUCCACCCUACCCACCGCCUGCGCCACCAGCGAGCCCACCAUUAGGGCCGCCUCCGGUUCCGCGGCCUCCACCCAGUCCACCACAUGCUCCACCUCCACCCUACCCACCGCCUGCGCCACCAGCGAGCCCGCCAUUAGGGCCGCCUCCAAUUCCGCGGCCUCCGUCUUUCCCUCCACAAGGACCACCGAGACCACCGCCUGUGGCCAGACCACCAUCACCACCGCACCCACCUCAUAGACCCCCACAACCGUACCCACCACCUUCCCCACCUCAUGGCCCAUCACCACCUCUACCCCCGGUGUCCAGGCCACCAGCUCCACCACCGCAACCACCUAGGAGGCCUCCACCCGCUUACCCACCACCGGCACCCCCACGUGGACCACCUUCACCUCCAGUGGCAAGACC
Molecule: long non-coding RNA, 449 nt
Organism: Ornithodoros turicata
Lineage: Eukaryota; Metazoa; Arthropoda; Arachnida; Ixodida; Argasidae
Exons: 6
Source: RefSeq, a predicted model, not a curated record